This 28-nucleotide non-coding RNA is filed under the name Mus musculus (house mouse). The record is from RNAcentral. Lineage: Eukaryota; Metazoa; Chordata; Mammalia; Rodentia; Muridae.
AACAGCUUGAUAAUGUUAGGAUUGGUAA